RNAcentral lists this transfer RNA (62 nucleotides) under Dipodomys ordii (Ord's kangaroo rat). It matches the Rfam family "tRNA", at positions 1 to 61 of the family's 71-position model. Rfam says of the family: Transfer RNA (tRNA) molecules are approximately 80 nucleotides in length. Lineage: Eukaryota; Metazoa; Chordata; Mammalia; Rodentia; Heteromyidae. The record is from Rfam by way of RNAcentral.
GGGAAGGUGGCUCAGUGGUAGAGCUCUUGCCUUGCAUGCAUGAGGCCCUGGAUUCCAUUCCU